Molecule: ribosomal RNA, 1260 nt
Filed under: Lactiplantibacillus plantarum
Lineage: Bacteria; Bacillati; Bacillota; Bacilli; Lactobacillales; Lactobacillaceae
Description: bacterial SSU rRNA
Source: RNAcentral
ACCGCAUAACAACUUGGACCGCAUGGUCCGAGUUUGAAAGAUGGCUUCGGCUAUCACUUUUGGAUGGUCCCGCGGCGUAUUAGCUAGAUGGUGRGGUAACGGCUCACCAUGGCAAUGAUACGUAGCCGACCUGAGAGGGUAAUCGGCCACAUUGGGACUGAGACACGGCCCAAACUCCUACGGGAGGCAGCAGUAGGGAAUCUUCCACAAUGGACGAAAGUCUGAUGGAGCAACGCCGCGUGAGUGAAGAAGGGUUUCGGCUCGUAAAACUCUGUUGUUAAAGAAGAACAUAUCUGAGAGUAACUGUUCAGGUAUUGACGGUAUUUAACCAGAAAGCCACGGCUAACUACGUGCCAGCAGCCGCGGUAAUACGUAGGUGGCAAGCGUUGUCCGGAUUUAUUGGGCGUAAAGCGAGCGCAGGCGGUUUUUUAAGUCUGAUGUGAAAGCCUUCGGCUCAACCGAAGAAGUGCAUCGGAAACUGGGAAACUUGAGUGCAGAAGAGGACAGUGGAACUCCAUGUGUAGCGGUGAAAUGCGUAGAUAUAUGGAAGAACACCAGUGGCGAAGGCGGCUGUCUGGUCUGUAACUGACGCUGAGGCUCGAAAGUAUGGGUAGCAAACAGGAUUAGAUACCCUGGUAGUCCAUACCGUAAACGAUGAAUGCUAAGUGUUGGAGGGUUUCCGCCCUUCAGUGCUGCAGCUAACGCAUUAAGCAUUCCGCCUGGGGAGUACGGCCGCAAGGCUGAAACUCAAAGGAAUUGACGGGGGCCCGCACAAGCGGUGGAGCAUGUGGUUUAAUUCGAAGCUACGCGAAGAACCUUACCAGGUCUUGACAUACUAUGCAAAUCUAAGAGAUUAGACGUUCCCUUCGGGGACAUGGAUACAGGUGGUGCAUGGUUGUCGUCAGCUCGUGUCGUGAGAUGUUGGGUUAAGUCCCGCAACGAGCGCAACCCUUAUUAUCAGUUGCCAGCAUUAAGUUGGGCACUCUGGUGAGACUGCCGGUGACAAACCGGAGGAAGGUGGGGAUGACGUCAAAUCAUCAUGCCCCUUAUGACCUGGGCUACACACGUGCUACAAUGGAUGGUACAACGAGUUGCGAACUCGCGAGAGUAAGCUAAUCUCUUAAAGCCAUUCUCAGUUCGGAUUGUAGGCUGCAACUCGCCUACAUGAAGUCGGAAUCGCUAGUAAUCGCGGAUCAGCAUGCCGCGGUGAAUACGUUCCCGGGCCUUGUACACACCGCCCGUCACACCAUGAGAGUUUGU